CAGUACCUCAAGUAAGUCACUCUAUGAUGAAAAUUACCGUUUGAUAACGUACGUAUGAAACUACCCUUUCGCCAUUUCUGAGAGAAACUUGAGGCAAACCUUAGAAAUUUGAGUUUUUAAGAAUAGUCGUAAUAGUUAGCUAAUUUUGCUACGGUUAGAUCGUAUAUUUGUUAUUCCUGCAAGGAUUAUAGGAUCCUUACUGUCAACUAACAACCAUGAAGACCAUUGGAAAGGAUAUGUAACGUUGGUUGUCACCGGAAGUACUAAACAACGUAAGGUCUCGCGAUGUGCCAUGACCUACUUACGGGCCGUAUUUUCACUGGUCCUCUGUGUUGGCAGCUGUACCCACUUUUAGCAGUACAAACAUGUUUACUAAGUUUUAAAGUUUCUGUUGGUUGUAUUUAGUUCCAAUUAGGCACCAUUGAAUCAUUUAAAAGUAGUUUAAAAUUGUCGUGUCGCAAACACCACUCGCUAAUGAGCCAUCGUUUGAUUGUUUACUUGUCAGCACUGUCUUGGACUGGUAUGAAAUUCAAAGGCUGACAUGAACAGGUUAUGAAAUCAAUACAAGUGUGAAAUAUAUGCACCUUGAUGAUGGCAGAUUCAAAAUGGUCAUGACCAAUACUUUGAACUUGCACCGAAACAUGACAUUCACUGACAUAGAUAAUUAACAUUCAUACCUGAUGUUCAUCAUUUGAAGAGUGUAUGGAGUUUCUCUGUGAUGAAAAUUGGAAUUACCGUUUGAUAUACAUGAAACUAUCCUAACGGCAUUUAUUUCUGAGAGAAACAAACCAUCGCUAUUUUUCUAUUUACCAUGAUAUCGAAUUAAUUUCCAUUUCAGCAAUGUAUGAGAAGUGAGUGGUUUCAUAGCAACCAAAGUGGUAACAAUUUUAAAUGAGUUUUAAUUAUUCUGUGACAAAAACCAACUGACAGGAGUUACAAUCCAGGCAAAGGAAGUGUAUCGUACAGCGAAAGUGUAUGUUGUAGAACUAAGACACGUCAUGAUGCAACUUGUUACUGUUUUCAGCAGUUAUACGUAUUUCUUGGCGAACAGUUUCUAGGCGUCUGACUUUGAGUGCUGGCGAUUAGGUGCCUGACUCUGAGGGUGCGGGUUCGAAUCCCGGAUGGGACUCAACCCCAAAAGUACUAGAAUCUGUAAUUUACUAAGAAAGUGUAAUCCAUAAAUAUAACAUAUGCUAACUUUGACCACUUUCUAAAAUGGCAUUGUGUAUUUCAGACAUUGCUAAACAGAAAAAACGCAUCAAAAUCGCACGUUUAUUUAACUAAGGGACCGUUCAUAAUUUAUGGCUAGGAGGGUGAUGGUUUUUAUGGAGAAGCAUAACCCAAUCCCUAAAAUGUGUGGACAAAGAUACCCCCCUGCAUGUCAUGUACAAAAUCAAUGGGGGAUAAGAGGUCUGCCCGUAAUCCCCGCUUGAAAUGUCCAAGUGUAAGCUGGUGAUGUACCCCCGAGGUAAUGCGAGAUGGAGAGCUAAACGUCUGCUUCAGUCUCGUUCCUCGCAGUCUCGUUCGUCGAUACAAGGCCAAUAGAAAUACCACUUGGCACUUAUGGUGACGUUUUGCCCCAAACAAUCGGGUUCGAGUCCAUCCCCGUAGUGACCGGCGCCCGCUUUGCCAUUGUUCUCGAAUAUGUCAUGCUUCUUGCAAAUUUCGUGCAAUUCAAACAUCGGACAACUGCAAGGUUGCAUUUUACAUUUUCUCCGGUACAAAUCCAAAACAUCUCACACAAGAUUACCAAUAAAACACUUGUCACAACGUUUUCCUCUGUAUAUAUAUCACGUUUCUGUCAUUUCAUAUUGGGCAAAUGCUCGAAAAUAUCUGAGUGAAUAAUGGAAUCUGGACCAGACAAUCAAGUAAUCGACAGCAUGAGCAUCGAUCUUCGCUCUUGGGAACCGAUGAGUGGCGGCCUAGUCGACGACCCUGACUACCCGUGCAACAAGUAUGGGUUACUGAAGAUCAAUUCUAACCCGGAUCUUCACGGGUCCGAAACUAUCGAAGGUGAUGUGCACCAGAAUGAGGCAGAUGUCUACUCUUGAGUAGAAGAUGGAAUAUGUACUUGAUUCCGACUGCAUUUUCAGUGUGCCUCUGUCUCCACAAUUCCAUGUAUGAAACUGUCAUAUCUCCCCCAAAACGACCAGGUUCAAGAGCGUGCUUUUGGCGAAGUUUCGACUGGUCUCCAGUGUCGUCUCCUUCCUCGAAAUGAACGUUUGGAAAAGGACAGCUUCUAUCCGUAUUUCACUUUGAAGUGAAGAGAAGAACCGAAUUCACUUUGUGGUCCUGGGACAUUUUCAUAAGGCGAGUUGAAAUGGAUAUACUGGAUCAUGUGGACCCGUGAAGAUCCUGGUUAGAAUUGAUCUUCAGUAACUCAUGCUUGUAAGAGGCGACUAACGGGAUUGGGUGGUCAGGCUCGCUGACUUGACAAUUGCGUGGAUCGAUGCCCAUGCUGUUGAUCAUUGGAUUGUCCGGUCAAGACUCGAUUAUAUACAGACCGCCGUCAUAUAUCUGGAAUAUUGCUGAGUAAACCUAGGCUAUUCGUUUCGUACUGACAAUUUGUUGCAUUUUCACUCCGAUAUUUAUUGAUAAUCGAUUGAUAUUUAGUAAGAUUAUCGAUGAGUGAUCUAUAUCGAUGGCCAGCCCUAUUUGUAAGCAACCGAUUUCGCUGUUGUAAGAAUGACGCAGGUCAUCACGGCGAGGCAGGUCAUAUGUAUAGGUGGGUGAGUAUUCGUAUCGUCACAACCGUGGACAAUGUUUGUGUAUACACCGAUACAUGUUCGUAUGUGGGCGUGGGGAGGUUGAAGGAAUGGCUGAAUUGAGGUCGGUUGUCACAUGGAAUAUUGCUGGGUGCGGCGUAAAAUCAAACUCACUCUUACUCAUGCAUAAA
Molecule: long non-coding RNA, 2896 nt
Filed under: Haliotis rubra (blacklip abalone)
Lineage: Eukaryota; Metazoa; Mollusca; Gastropoda; Lepetellida; Haliotidae
Description: uncharacterized LOC124286599, transcript variant X2
Source: RNAcentral